GUGCUCACUUCUGCAACACAUAUACUAAAAUUGGAACAAUAUACAGAAGAUUAGCAUGACCCCUGGGCAAGGAUGACAUGCAAAUUCAUGAAGUGCUCCAUAUUAAA
Molecule: small nuclear RNA, 107 nt
Organism: Rhinopithecus roxellana (golden snub-nosed monkey)
Lineage: Eukaryota; Metazoa; Chordata; Mammalia; Primates; Cercopithecidae
Source: Ensembl